UCCAAUGAUGGCAUGAAAUCUUUGAGACCUGAUCUUUUUGUUUGAUGACAUCCAUAAGCAAAUCCACUGAGGAU
Molecule: small nucleolar RNA, 74 nt
Organism: Hibiscus syriacus
Lineage: Eukaryota; Viridiplantae; Streptophyta; Magnoliopsida; Malvales; Malvaceae
Product: small nucleolar RNA R66
Exons: 1
Source: RefSeq, a predicted model, not a curated record